GACGAACGCUGGCGGCGUGCCUAAUACAUGCAAGUAGAACGCUGAAGGAGGAGCUUGCUUCUCCGGAUGAGUUGCGAACGGGUGAGUAACGCGUAGGUAACCUGCCUGGUAGCGGGGGAUAACUAUUAGAAACGAUAGCUAAUACCGCAUAAGAGUAGAUGUUGCAUGACAUUUGCUUAAAAGGUGCAAUUGCAUCACUACCAGAUGGACCUGCGUUGUAUUAGCUAGUUGGUGGGGUAACGGCUCACCAAGGCGACGAUACAUAGCCGACCUGAGAGGGUGAUCGGCCACACUGGGACUGAGACACGGCCCAGACUCCUACGGGAGGCAGCAGUAGGGAAUCUUCGGCAAUGGACGGAAGUCUGACCGAGCAACGCCGCGUGAGUGAAGAAGGUUUUCGGAUCGUAAAGCUCUGUUGUAAGAGAAGAACGAGUGUGAGAGUGGAAAGUUCACACUGUGACGGUAUCUUACCAGAAAGGGACGGCUAACUACGUGCCAGCAGCCGCGGUAAUACGUAGGUCCCGAGCGUUGUCCGGAUUUAUUGGGCGUAAAGCGAGCGCAGGCGGUUAGAUAAGUCUGAAGUUAAAGGCUGUGGCUUAACCAUAGUACGCUUUGGAAACUGUUUAACUUGAGUGCAAGAGGGGAGAGUGGAAUUCCAUGUGUAGCGGUGAAAUGCGUAGAUAUAUGGAGGAACACCGGUGGCGAAAGCGGCUCUCUGGCUUGUAACUGACGCUGAGGCUCGAAAGCGUGGGGAGCAAACAGG
RNAcentral lists this ribosomal RNA (763 nucleotides) under uncultured Streptococcus sp. Its description in RNAcentral is "bacterial SSU rRNA". It matches the Rfam family "Bacterial small subunit ribosomal RNA", at positions 28 to 776 of the family's 1533-position model. Lineage: Bacteria; Bacillati; Bacillota; Bacilli; Lactobacillales; Streptococcaceae. The record is from RNAcentral.